Molecule: non-coding RNA, 273 nt
Organism: Otolemur garnettii (small-eared galago)
Lineage: Eukaryota; Metazoa; Chordata; Mammalia; Primates; Galagidae
Source: Rfam
GCUGGGCACAGUGGCACGCGCCUGUAGUCCCAGCUACUCAGGAGGCUGAGACAGGAGGAUGUCUGGAGUCCAGGAAUUCUGGGCUGUAGUACGCUAUGCUGCAAUAAGGUGACCUCCCGGGAGCAGGGGGCCACCAGGUUACCUAAGGAGGGGUGAACCAGCCCAGGUUGGAAACAGAGCAGGUCAAAGCUCCCGUGCUAAUCAGCAGCGGGAUGGUGCCUAUGAAUAGGCACUGCACUCCAGCCUGGGCAGCACAGUGAGACUCCCUCUCUU